UAGAGGAUCGAAGGCGAUCAGAUACCGCCCUAGUUCUAACCAUAAACCAUGUCGACCAGCGAUUUGUCUGAGUUCUUCAAAUGACUCGACAAGCAGCUUCUGGGAAACCAAAGUUUUUGGGUUCCGGGGGAAGUAUGGUUGCAAAGCUCAAACUUAAAGGAAUUGACGGAAGGGCACAACCAGGCGUGGGGCCUGCGGCUUAAUUUGACUCAACACGGGGAAGCUCAUCCGAUCCGGACACUGGAAGGAUUGACAGAUUAAGAGCUCUUUCUUGAUUCAGUGGAUGGUGGUGCACGGCCGUUCUUAGUUGGUGGAGCGAUUUGUCUGGUCAAUUCCGAUAACGACCGGAGACUCAAGAUUAAUAGGGAUAGUCGGGGGGCGUCAGUAUUCAGCUGUCAGAGGUGAAAUUCUUGGAUUUGCUGAAGACUAACUACUGCGAAAGCAUUCGCCAAGGAUGUUUUCAUUAAUCAGGGAACGAAAGUUAGGGGAUCGAAGACGAUCAGAUACCGUCGUAGUCUUAACCAUAAACUAUGCCGACUAGGGAUCGGGCGGUGUUUCUAUAAUGACCCGCUCGGCACCUUACGAGAAAUCAAAGUUUUUGGGUUCUGGGGGGAGUAUGGUCGCAAGGCUGAAACUUAAAGRAAUUGACGGAAGGGCACMACCAGGCGUGGGGCCUGCGGCUUAAUUUGACUCAACACGGGGAAGCUCAYCCGAUCCGGACACUGGAAGGAUUGACAGAUUAAGAGCUCUUUCUUGAUUCAGUGGAUGGUGGUGCACGGCCGUUCUUAGUUGGUGGAGCGAUUUGUCUGGUCAAUUCCGAUAACGAGCGAGAUUCCAGCCUACUAAAUAGGCGUCCCGAUCAACUUUGUCGGGCGUUCUUCUUAGAGGGACAAGCGGCGUUUAGCCGAACGAAACGGUGCAAUAACAGGUCAGAGAUGCCCUGAGAUGUCCGGGGCCGCACGCGCGCCACACUGAAGGAAUCAGCGUGUGUUUUCCCUGUCUGGCAGGAUUGGGUAACCCGCUGAACCUCCUUCGUGAUAGGGAUAGGGGCUUGUAAUUGUUCCCCUUGAACGAGGAAUGCCCAGUAAGCACGAGUCAUCAGCUCGUGCUGAUUACGUCCCUGCCCUUUGUACACACCGCCCGUCGCUACUACCGAUUGAAUGAUUUAGUGAGGUCUUUGGACUGGCGCUCGGAGCGACUCUGGUCGUGCCGAUGUGACGGAAAGAUGAUCGAACUUGAUUAUUUAGAGGAAGUAAAAGUCGUAACAAGGUUGCGG
This 1276-nucleotide ribosomal RNA is filed under the name Pelicinus marmoratus. Its description in RNAcentral is "SSU rRNA". The record is from RNAcentral. Lineage: Eukaryota; Metazoa; Arthropoda; Arachnida; Araneae; Oonopidae.